CAAGGUGUAGCUCAGUGGUAGAGUGCUUGCCUAGGACACAUCAAGCCCUGGGUUCAAUCCCCAGCACCAUUU
This is a non-coding RNA of Ictidomys tridecemlineatus (thirteen-lined ground squirrel), 72 nucleotides long. NCBI's taxonomy places the organism in Eukaryota, Metazoa, Chordata, Mammalia, Rodentia, Sciuridae. The record is from Rfam.